UACGGAAUGUGCAAACGUUAUUCGGAAUCACUGGGCUUAAAGAGUCCGUAGGCGGCAUGUUAGGUGAGGUGUGAAAUCCCCCGGCUCAACCGAGGAAUUGCGCUUCAAACCGGCUUGCUAGAGGAAGAUAGAGGUGGGCGGAACUGAUGGUGGAGCGGUGAAAUGCGUUGAUAUCAUCAGGAACACCGGAGGCGAAGGCGGCCCACUGGGUCUUUUCUGACGCUGAGGGACGAAAGCUAGGGGAGCGAACGGG
RNAcentral lists this ribosomal RNA (253 nucleotides) under uncultured bacterium. RNAcentral describes it as "partial 16S ribosomal RNA". It matches the Rfam family "Bacterial small subunit ribosomal RNA", at positions 524 to 776 of the family's 1533-position model. The record is from RNAcentral.